RNAcentral lists this long non-coding RNA (419 nucleotides) under Rattus norvegicus (Norway rat). RNAcentral describes it as "long non-coding RNA NONRATT029087". Lineage: Eukaryota; Metazoa; Chordata; Mammalia; Rodentia; Muridae. The record is from RNAcentral.
GAGUACACUGGAGCGCGUGCCUGCAGUCCAUGGUCCUAGACGACUAGGAGUUGAGAUUGUCCUGCAAUCUCCAGCUGCACUGCCACAGCCAGCAAGCCUAGGGCCCUGAUAUUGAGAGAUCAACUACUUCAGCCUCAGCAGUGUUGACUGGGGAAACACCUCGGUCAGUGUCAACUGCCUGGCCGCAGCGACUCCAGGAAUAAAGCUUCUAUAGCACUACAGCGGUGAUUUAAAAAUCCCAGGUCUGAAUCUCAGUUCCAAAUCUCAUAGGUCAAUGCGCUGAGGUCGUGCCCUAUGUAAAUGCAUGCAGGGUAGAUGGGAAGGGCGCCUUUGCGGAGCUGCGAGAGUGGAAAAAUUGGUUUCUCUGAAGAACCAGUUUCCUCCCUCGAGGGAUUUUUAAACUGCUAAAGUGAAAGAAA